GACAGGCACAGCAGCCGGGGAGACAGGGAGAGCGUCGCAGUUUGUUUUGCAGAUCCUCAAUGCUGGUGCAUGAGUAGGGUCGGAUGGAUAUCAUUUUAAAGAAAAAAGGUUACCUAAAGGGACUCUCCUAAGGAGCUGGCUCACCAAAUCCCGUCCCCGGCUGCUUCUGUUCAUCGCUGGUUUAAAAAGACCUCAAGUCACCCUUAUGAGGAGGAAGAGGAUGAAACGUACCAAAGUUGCAAAGGCCACGUAAGCGAGUGAGUGCCCGAUCCCCCCAUUUCCUGGAGGACGCGACGGCCAGGCCUCAUGGAGAUGUCUGCAGCUGGCACCAGUGCAGAAGAAGAGAAGACUGAAGGAAUCGGCGUGAGACAGUCUACAGUCUGGACUGUUGUAACUCCCCAGCCUGCGUGUAAACCAACAAUACAGUCCUAUUCUAUGUAUACACAGCCUGAGAGGAGUCAUUACUGCGCCUAGAAAGGGGACAGGGGGACUGGGAGGCAACGGUGGGAGACGAGCGGGAGCCAGUGAGGCCAAUACAUGAGUCUUCACUGAAUCAGUAAUGAGUCUUCAGGCGGCAGGGAGGGGAACUCUGGAUUAGAAUAGGGAAGAGUUGAGAUGAAGGGCGGGAUGUACUGUAGUUCUAGUUUGGCGGCUGUGCGGGAUGCUUUCCGAGCUCUGAUGUUUUCUUUAAAGGGGAAAUCCUUUACAAGGCUAAACCAUGAAUGACUGCCCCUUUUAAAAAAUGUCCAAGUUAGGCCAGCAUUUUGCACGACCGCCAAACUCGGACUUAUUACAUCCCAGUCUAAUUGUGAAGAGCUGGAGAAGAAGGAAUGGGUGCAAUUAAUCAUAUGGUGGUGGUGGCGGCUUGAACGGGAUAGGGUGUAUGGGAGGUUUAUGGUAGAAUUGGAUGGACUAUUCGAGAACGGUAGGGGUACAUUUUCUAAAGCUUCUAAAAAUUAAGAGUGCUGGU
Molecule: long non-coding RNA, 970 nt
Organism: Pseudophryne corroboree (corroboree frog)
Lineage: Eukaryota; Metazoa; Chordata; Amphibia; Anura; Myobatrachidae
Exons: 4
Source: RefSeq, a predicted model, not a curated record